AAUAUUGGACAAUGGGCGGAAGCCUGAUCCAGCCAUGUCGCGUGUGUGAAGAAGGUCUUCGGAUUGUAAAGCACUUUAAUUUGGGAGGAAGGGUUUACACCUAAUACGUGUAAACCUAGACGUUACCAAAACAAUAAGCACCGGCUAACUUCGUGGCAGCAGCCGCGGUAAUACUAAGGGUGCAAGCGUUAAUCGGAAUUACUGGGCGUAAUGCGCGAGUAGGUGGUUCGUUAAGUUGGAAGUGAAAGCCCCGGGCUCAACCUGGGAAUUGCUUUCAAAACUGGCGAGCUAGAGUACGGUAGAGGGUGGUGGAAUUUCCUGUGUAGCGGUGAAAUGCGUAGAUAUAGGAAGGAACAUCAGUGGCGAAGGCGACCACCUGGACUGAUACUGACACUGAGGUGCGAAAGCGUGGGGAGCAAACAGG
RNAcentral lists this ribosomal RNA (424 nucleotides) under uncultured bacterium. RNAcentral describes it as "partial 16S ribosomal RNA". It matches the Rfam family "Bacterial small subunit ribosomal RNA", at positions 360 to 776 of the family's 1533-position model. The record is from RNAcentral.